Molecule: transfer RNA, 74 nt
Filed under: Theionarchaea archaeon DG-70-1
Lineage: Archaea; Methanobacteriati; Methanobacteriota; Theionarchaea
Also listed under: 2 other names
Description: tRNA-Lys
Rfam family: tRNA
About the family: Transfer RNA (tRNA) molecules are approximately 80 nucleotides in length.
Source: RNAcentral
GGGCCUGUAGCUCAGUCUGGCAGAGCAUCGGCCUUUUAAGCCGAGGGUCGCGGGUUCAAUUCCCGUCGGGCCCG